Molecule: non-coding RNA, 113 nt
Organism: Caerostris darwini
Lineage: Eukaryota; Metazoa; Arthropoda; Arachnida; Araneae; Araneidae
Source: the annotation of a GenBank genome assembly
AACGGCCAUACCAUGUUGAAUAUACCGGUUCUCGUUAGAUCACCGAAGUCAAGCAUCGUUGGGUGCGGUCAGUCCCACCGGUGGGUGAUCACCUGGGAACACCGCGUGCCGUU